Molecule: ribosomal RNA, 253 nt
Filed under: uncultured bacterium
Lineage: Bacteria
Description: partial 16S ribosomal RNA
Rfam family: Bacterial small subunit ribosomal RNA
Source: RNAcentral
UACGUAGGGUCCGAGCGUUGUCCGGAAUUAUUGGGCGUAAAGGGCUCGUAGGCGGUUUGUUGCGUCGGGAGUGAAAACUUCGAGCUUAACUCGGAGCUUGCUUUCGAUACGGGCAGACUUGAGGCAUUCAGGGGAGAACGGAAUUUCUGGUGUAGCGGUGAAAUGCGCAGAUAUCAGAAGGAACACCGGUGGCGAAAGCGGCUCACUGGACCAUAACUGACGCUGAUGCACGAAAGCUGGGGGAGCAAACAGG